AUAGUCACCGUUCUAGCGAGCGCUUGCGUUUUGCUGGCUGGCUUGUUUAUCGAGCCCUUUUAGGCCCCCACCGUGGUGCAACUGUUGAAAACGUCACACACACACACACACACACAUACACUGUCUUUGCGCAACGUUUUCCUUGUGCUCUUUAACACACACACACACACACACACACACACACACACACACACACACACACACACACACACACACACACACACACACAUGCAACCUCAGGUGGAACGGGUGCUUGCGGGCGCCGACCGUUGGUACUUUGACGCAUGGAAGCUGGCGGAGGUGGCGCAGGCAAGUCGGCAGCCGCCGUCCUAUAGCCAGCCGGGACCACCGCCGUGACGUACGAUCCGCGCGCGGCCUCCACUUGAACCUGCUGCACACGCACCUGUUCUCAUGGCGUUGGGCUUACACGGCUUCCGCAUGAUCUGGCCAGCCAUUGCCGGCAGCUGAGUUGUGCUCGGCCGCCCUCCCGCACACCUCGCUGGUCACACGCACGCGUAGGGACAUGCGCUGAGCGCUCUGGGCUACUACCUCAUUCAACGGGAGGGGCUGAUUGACAAGUUCCGACUCAAGCCCGUCAUGCUGGCCAGGUAUGGCCGUACGAGCUAACGUUCUUGUGUGUGCCAACGCGAUGCCCUAUCAGGCUGAUGCAGUCGGAGGUGCUGGUCGGGCAGGGCCUCGUGGUGUUGUGUUGUGGUUGUGUCGGUGCCCUCUCGUGGCCUUGCCUUGACGGGGUGGCCUUACUUGUGCCGCGCCCGCUGCACAGGCUCUUGCGCACCAUCGAAUCCGGGUACAACCCAGACAACCCCUACCACAACGCCACGCACGCGGCCGACGUGCUGCAGACGCUGCACGUGAUCAUCCACGGCGCCGGGCUGCACGCAGGUGGGAGCGUGAGAAGCGCGUGCCACCGCGUUACGGAGUUCUGGUGCGCCCUGCGAACAAUCCAGUGCGGACGCUUUCUUGUCGCGUCGUUACGAUGAUCUGGGAGCCAAGCUACUCACUACGCAAUUGUCGACUUGUGUACCGUAUGUGUGUGUAGGCUACCUGGAUCGGCUAGGCCUGCUGGCCGCCUAUUUUGCGGCCAUGGUGCACGACCACGGCCACCCCGGCCUCACCAACGACUUCCUCAUCGCCACCGGGGACGUGCUGGCGGUGCGCUACAACGACAAGAGCCCGCUGGAGAACCACCACGCCGCCUCCGCCUUCGCGCUGCUGCAGCGACACGACCUGGACCUGCUGGGCCACCUGCCGCAGCAGGACCGCGCCGCCUUCCGGAAGCAGGUGCGCGUGGGGGUUGUAACUACCAGCCCAAACUGAACCAAACUAAGCCAAACUAGCGGAGCACAGGCAGCGGCGACAGGGUUAUGUAAGUGGUUGAGCGGUUGGGUGGGCGGUUGAGGUAGUUGGGAGGGUGGGCGUGGGUGUGGGUGCAUUGGUUGUGGGGAUAGCGGGCCAACAUCUUGGGCAGCUCCCGUUAAGGGGAUGCCGGAUGGUGUGUAUGGCACACAGCGUGCUGGGACACAGGAAGGGCGGGGUUAUGAGGCAGGCCCGGGGAGCAUGUGGUGGUAUUGAUUGAUCACGCUGUGCCUUCGUGACUGAUGGUGUUGCCGCAGGUGAUCGAGAUGGUCGUGGGCACGGACAUGAAGCAGCACUUCACCAUCCUGUCGCACUUCAACACCGCCCACCGCCUGCCCAGCUACGCGGCGCAGUCCGCCGCCGUGCCGGCGGGCAGCGGCGCCGCCAGCGCGGCGUCCACCCCCACGCGCGAAGGCCCGGAGCUCUCACCUCCCAGGUGUGACCCCUGCAUGCCCUCACUCACAGCACCAUCGCACUCCACUCUCGCCCUAUUUUUGCACACAGCCGCACGCAUACACUUGCACGCAUUCGCACAUACAGUUUCGAUCCCACCACCUUGUCCUUUCCUUAUAUACACGCACGCUCAAUCGCCCACACACAACAGUGAGCUGGCAUCGGGAGCCACAGCUGCCGCCGGGUCUCUGAGCGCCAGCCCCACCGCCGCCGUGUCCACCGCCCAGCCGCCACCUGGGUCGGCGCCGUCACCCUUGGACGAGGCGGAGCGGCUGCUGACUCUGCAGGUGGCGCUCAAGGCCGCGGACGUGGGACACCUGGGCGAGGAGCUGUGCGUGCAUGAGAGGUGCGCGAGGGGGAGGCGGGCGGUGGGCAGGCGGAGGGUGUGGGGCGGGAAGGAAGAGGAGGUGCAUGGGAGGGGCGCAGGGCGCAGGGCGCGUCAUGAUGCAUGCGACACACGGGCAGCGAUGACGGAAAGCUGAAGACACGUGAUGGUGGGUUGUGGUUGCAGGUGGUUGGGUGUGCUGGAGGAGGAGUUCUUCCGCCAGGGCGACAAGGAGAAAGCUCUGGGACUUCCAAUGAGUCCACUUUUCGACCGCGCCAAGCAGGGCGUCAGCAAGAGCCAAGUGGUGAGUGACACAUGCCACAUGCUACUGUCUAUCACAGAUUUCUAGGUGGUGAGUUAGCCACACCCAGCAGCCCACGCACUCAUCCACGUCCGCAACAUGACCAUGGUCUGGUUGUCAAGGUGGUGCGGGAACAUGUGUGACUACAAUCGAUCUACCUGUAUUAUUGUUAGUGGACGUGCUCAUGCACAUGCGCACACGCCUCCUAACACAACGCGCCUGCUGGCUAUCACAAACUUCCAUCUGCAGGGCUUCUACGACUUCGUAGCGCUGCCUCUGGUGCAUGCGCUGGCGAGCGCAUUCCCGGGUGCGCGGCCGUUGCUGACCGCGUUCCGACGUAACUACGGCCACUGGCGGGCGGUUGAGACAGCGGCCAGCAACUCUGGCAAGUAGUGACUCCCGCCGGGGUCGCAAGCAACCGGUUAGGAUCACGGCUGCCGCCUGGCGCUGGGGGCCAUUUCGUGAUGGUGGUGGGAUUCGGUUGUGUAGUCAACCGCUCUUUGGGUAUCUAGGGAUGAGGGAGGGUCGCAUUGCGCCAUCCGUGGCAGUGGGAUGCGGCAUUUGGUGCCUGAGGGCCAUGCGGGCGCCUUUGGGGAACUGCGGGGUUACUUCUAUUACUCACCAGUCCGCCUGUGAUUCGGGGUGUUUUGAUUUUAGGGUGAAGGGCGGCGUGCGUUGAAAGACGCACAGCAAUUCAGCCACCGCUGAUGCUGCCAGGUUGGCAACAUAAAAUACUAAUGGCAGCAUAAUGAACAAUGCAUUUGAAGUCCUCGACAGGAGAUUCUUCCACGCUUUCAAUGAGGGAUGGUUGUCAUGUGUAGUGGACGUGGCCAUGCAUGUGUUGAACAAAUUCUUUACAGUCGAUGCGCGUGUAUGCUUUGUCCCUGUUGGGUGCCCGCAUGGACGUGGACAUCACGAGUCAUGAGUCGAGGCAGAAGGCACGCAGUAUGUGCGGACGCGCAUGAGGAAGGAUGAAGAGCACGCAUUGCGCAUCGCUCGACUGAGAUUGAUGCCGCAGCCAAUGUUGAAACAUGCUGAACCUAAACAGACGGCGUCCCCAAUCAUGCCCUCUUGCGGUACUAGUGGAGGCAUGGGCCGUGCACGGUUGGUCCAGGGAUGGCGCAAAAAUGUGCAUGGCUUGUGGGUGGCAAUAGGCGGGGAGGGCAUGGUGCUUCACUGCCCCACUCUGUCCUUCAAUUGACGCGGGUCCACGGAAUGUAGCCGACUGCAAUGGGUACGCGGUGAUUGUGAGACUGCUGAUAGCAGCAUGGGUCUCUUCAUGACGGCGUGUGGCGCUGUUGUAUGUGGUGACGGGAAGCUGACGCUGGUGGGGUUUGGCUAUUGGUCGGGGCUGGGGCUGGGUGGCACGGCCCUUGCCUCGUGUGAUGCGCAGUGCUGAAGGGCAGGGUAGUAUGGACUGGGCAGGGGGUGGUAUGGACUGGGCAGGGGGUAGUAUGGACUGGGCAGGGGGUGGUAUGCGUAGUAUGCUGCACCGCACAUCAAAGCGCGUGGCAGCACGAAAGAGUUGUGAAAAGAGGCCAUGUGGGGUUCACCUCAACAGUUUUGAUCACAAGUCGCUCUGCACCGCUUGCCAAGGUGGUGGUGGUAGUGCGUUCCGCUUAUGCGUGGUGUCACGGGUGUAGAGGACCACUGAGCAGUGUGGUGAAAUAUGCACUGGUGUGCCCUGCAGGUGCGGGCAGCAGCUUGCUGCAGGGUGCACCUCCAGAACACCGUUUGGGCGGGCCGACGUGGGUGAGGUGUACCCUGGAUGCUGUAGGGCGUUGGCCUGAACGGCGCUUAGAACGCAACUGUACAGCAUGGCAGUGCCGCAACGGGUGAUGUGGGUACAAUGAUAAAUGUCAAUCAGUUAUGGGUGUUUGGUCGGUGCUAAUUGGCGUCCCUCGUAACGGCGCUGGUGACCAUGAAAGCCAGUGCGUUUGCUCCUUGCCUAGUUGCCUGCACUUGGUAGGCUACAAGCACGCCCGUGAACCCGUCCGUGUGCUCACUGUGGCUGCGCGGCAGGCGGCUGAGUAAAGCCUGAUGGGGGCUGAGGAGCACAUCUUGUGCCGUGCGUCAUGAGGAGUAGUACGAUAAACAGCUGAAUAACAUGGUGAAUGCCAGGAAGAUGGUGGGCCUGUGUGGUAAAGUCAUUGGAAUUGCCAGCUCGGGGAUGGAGGUCAGCCCGGUGCUGAUGGUGGCGCUGGAUGCGAUUCAUGUGCUGCUGGGGCCGUCGGAGCAGCGCGUGGUGAGCACUGGGGCUACCGUAUUGGGGAUCAGUUGAGAAGGAUGGGCGCGCGCUGCCGAUUGUUCACUCGCAUUGCCACUGUGGCGGUGGUGGCGUCAACAUAAUAUGCGCGCGUUGUCAAGGUAAACCUACCCCUCAGCCCCUGACACUAGCACUUGUUCCGAUGUAUCCGCUGCGUGGUUCUGCAGGACGGAUCUGAGCCGCCGCCGGCGCUGCAGGCGGUGGUGCGGCGGGAGUUGCGGCGGCUGGGCGCGCCGCGCCUGCUGGCGGACUGCGUGCGGGAGCUGCGGCUGCAACAGGCGGACGAGCAGGGCGAGGAGGGCCGGGCCCAGGAGGAGUGGGAGCGGGCGAGCGGGCGCACGGGCCACAGCGGGUAAUGGUCGCGUGCUUCCCGGAGCGGGAGCGGUGACGGGCUGUAACUAGCAGUGUCCUACCCCGCUGCGAAGCUGGGGCCCGCAGGUCCAUUGCUAGCUCCAACGCGACAGUCCCUGGCAGCAAGGACCUGACCAUUCCCAUCUCCAACUGCAGCGUGCCAGCCUCCUACGGCACGCGGUUAAUUUGCAUUUGUAGCUGAUCCUCAUAGCUAUGGUGCCGCAGGAGCCCAGGCGACAGGGUCACGGCCACCGCCGCCUGCCCCGCGAACACGUUCCACAACACAAAAGGCAACAUCACAGCAAGCCAAACCCUGUCCCCCGAAGUAACAGGAGAUGGGAGCUUGAAAGCCUGGGGCCGUGCCGUACGCACGCGUAGGCCCACGUUCUCGCCCACACAGCACGUCUGCUGGCUACCUCCAGAGAGCCAGCCGCAUGAUCACUACGACAUGAAUGUACCAGCAGCAGUUCGUUCCCGACCACCAUUCUUCUGCUGCCGCCGGCACAGGCCCCACACAUGAAUGCGCAACCCACUGACGCGCACUGGUACGGUACACACAGCCCCUGCGAUCCAGCCGCCUCCAGGCCAGCCGGCCCAUCCUCCUCGAACCAAUCACACCCGCAAUCGCACGGCAGUAGCAAGCACAUCUGGAGCUUUAGCCCCCGCCACCGCCCCCGCCACCGCCCCCGCCACCGCUGCGGCCGCCGCGCUGCAGCAGCGCUUACUGCUGCUCGCCGGCGGCGGCGCGGAUGACGUGGCGGUGGCUGGAGUCUGAGCCGCCGGUGGCGCCGCGGCGCACGGCAGCGGCCGCCGCCUCGGCCAGGCGGCUGGUGCCGGCGGCGGCGAGGUCGUCGGGGUCGUUGCGGUCCUUGAUGCCCCACAUGCCGCCGUGCAGCUUGCCGGUGCGCACGUCCUGCUCCAUCUGCCACUCGGGCUCGCCAUACCUGUGUUGUAAUUGGAAACAAACAGAGGUACAGAGUCGACAAGAGUGUAGGCGCACAAAUGCUCCAUUCCUUUCACAUGUUCACACACACAUGCCGCCACGCCCGCCGCCCGCCCGCCCUCACGCCCGCCCGCCCGCACCAGCAGUCGCCGCUCUCCAGCUGCAGGCUGUUGUCGCCGCGGCGCACGCGGAAGAAGCCGCGCUCACCCCAGUAGGUGCCCCUGCAGGCGGCAGGGGUGGAUAGCGGCACAGCACAGCACGUCAGCUAACAAGCGACGAAAACCCCGUGCAUGCACACACACACACACACACACACACACACACACACACACACACACACACACACACACGCACACACGCACGCACACAGGUGCGGUUGAGACACGGCUCUCACCAUCAAUGCAUUGCGAGCCUGAUGCUUUGCAUUGCGGGUCCCACACGACGAACCCUGUCGCUGGUGGGCCAGCCAGGCCAUCGCAGCAACAGCUCGCUAAGGACCCCGGCAACUCACCAGCUGUUGCGCACGAUCCAGUACUUCUCGCCGUCCUCCUCGCCCCAGCCCACAACCUCCACAUCUGCGCAGUCAAGAAGGCCACAGUGUAAGCGAGUGGCAUGUGCUGUUGCGCACGACCACUCCGCGUCGCCCCCCGGGCCGCCAUCCCACCACAUCCUUGCAACCCCCCCCCUCCGCCGCACCGUGGUCCAGCUCCGUGUCGCCGCUGGUGUCCUUGUAGAUGCCGCCGUUGUAGUGCCACGUGAAGUCUUCCGGGCACACCUGGCCGCACGUGAUGGGGCCGCGGUGGUAAAUCUCACUCAUCAUGGCCUGUGGUGGUCGGGGGAAUUAUGGGAGGGCGGAGCAGGGGGCCAGAGCGGUGAGGAAGGGCAGGGCAGGACGGGAGGCCGUGAGUUGCAGGCGUGAAGGCUCACAGGAAUUCCGGCGCACGCACUGUGUACUGUGUACCCGCAACUAGCUAUGCAACCACGCCUACCACCUCCAGCGCUCCACAACUACAAGAGUCAUGCGCAUUUCUCUGAAGCGCCCGCCACGCCACGCCACGCCACGCCACGCCGCGCCACGCACACGCCCCGCCUGCCUCACCUCCACGCCCUUGUCGACCUGGCCCCAGGCAGUGAGGUAGUAGCGGAUGGGGCGGUGGAUGGGCCAGCAGGUCUCCACGCCGUCCAGCGGCAUGCAGUUGUUGCACUCGCCAUGCGCGGGGCAGCGCUUGUGGCCGGGGAACUUGGUGUGGUCGGUGGCGUUGUAGGUCAUGCAGCCCUCGUCAGGCAGGCCGAAACUGCGGGGUGAUUGGUGGGUGGGUGAGUGGGUGGGUGAGUGGGUGGGUAGUGGGUCGGUUGGAAGGAGGGUACGCCUAGAUUACAACACGGAGGGGUGGACAAUAUGGGAUACACUGGGGCGGGGCGGCAGGAGGGGAGGGUGAGGGCCGCCCAAACCGUGACUCGCCUUCCCAAGGGCCGGGCCCCUGAGGGCCGCAGGGCCGGUUGUAAGGCAAGAUACCCCACGGCUGAGCGCACGCUAGGACCGUGCGCGUGCACGUGUGUAUUUGCUUCCGUGCCUGCGUUAGACAGCACAAGGCCUGCGCGUGUGUCAUGUGUGGCCCCGCCACCACUCGCCGCACACUCACUCGGUCAUGUACCCGAACACGUCCACCGUGUCGCCGCCGUCGCAGCCGUUGCCGUAGCCCUCGAACGCCGCGCAGUUGAGCAGCGUCUGGCGCGCCAGCAUCACAUCCGGCGUCUCACCCUUCUUCAUGAUCUUCAGGCUGCGCGAUGUGGUGUGCGAGCGUGCGUGCGGCAGGGAGAGAGGCAGGCUUGCGGUCAGCGCCGUCGAGGACGCCAAACGCGGACGCGAAUACGGUAUCGAGGCGUGCACGCGGCGCCAACCAUGCAGACGAAUGCCUGAGCUCCAGACUCAUGACAUCACAGACGCAGGACCGAAUCACUGGUUGCGCCCGUCUCCCAACGAAGCCUGCUGGAAAUUCACGCGCGUAACCCAACCCGGUUGUGGGAGAUGCGCCCCACCGGUCCUGGAUGGCCGACAAUGUGCCGUGCACCCAGCAAGAGCCGCAGUAGUAGGGGAUGUGCUGAUUCCAGUUGGCGACGCAGUAGCUGACGCCAUCCACGUUGCACUGCGCGGGUGGAGGGAGCGGCGGAGCCGCAGUGUGUAAAGGCGCGGGAAAGGGAAUAAAGGUGUGCGGAGCCCCGGGACCAGCACGUGUCCGCCGGUUUUAUCUCCCCGACUUCGCGGGCCCCGCCCCGCAAUCCCCAGCGCGCAAUUCUGUAUGCUUCCAUGACACAUAGGCGCGCACCCAGUUCCAGUUCUUUGGCAGCUCGUGCUCCUUCUUCAGCGGCGCCGGGACGUGGUUGAAAGACGUGCGCCGGCCCUCGCGGGGCUUUUGCAGACUCUUAUCGCGAGGACCAUGGCCCUGCCAGUUCUUGCCCGCGUCCACGCCCAGCAACGCGACACUCAGGCCAAUUGCCAACACUGCGAGCGCCCGGCAAAGUGGGCCGUGCAUUUUCAUGCCGGGUACUACUAAUAGGAUCACAGGCACACUAACAAAACAGUAUUCAGAAAGUACCCUACUGACGUAAAAUCCCGCCGAUUCUGGCCUCAACGGAUGACGGAUUGCCCGAGUCCGUGUCUUGGAACUAGUUAUGAUAAACACAAGUUAUAAGGCUCUAUGCCAGCAAACUAACAAACGUCGUCCGGAGUGCCGGAACCGACAACGUGCCAUACCCUUGCAUUCAGCACUCUGCCUCCAUAUGCCCCGUCACACACGCGUACACAGGUCCGGCCACACCUCUCCCUGGCCCUCUUCCUGGCCCUGAGGCCUGAGCAUGUGGAUGGAUGGUCGGUUUGGCAUGCCGGUGUUGGUCUUGUCGGCCGCACAGCCAGUGUUUAGGCCGCUUUUAGGCCUAUGGCGUGGGGGCCCCCUCCCCCGCGCUGCUGACUUGCACGAGCGGUACCUGGUGUUGUCCACGUGCCCACGCCGUGUUGGGCGAAUACGCUAACCUUCACUGUAUGGACGUGCAAGGACGUGCGGGGGCUAGGCGUCGGACCAUGCUGCUGAGGCCGUUAGGCCCAUCGAUGCUCGGGCACAUGGCGUCCAUUACCCCUUUGAAGUAGCCCGGAAAACGGGAGACACUGUCUAACGCUUCCACACCAUCAACUCUUUCCUCAGACUUUGGUUUCGAUCAAGUCCAAACUAGAAUGGCUCGACGAGCCUUGCACAUUACCGCUUUCGCGAUUUUGCUCACGUCUCUGCCGCUCUUAGCGAUCGCCGACCCUGAGGACAGCUAUGCAGAUCUGGCUGCUCGCGUGGUGCCGGCGAAAUUGCGGCAAGCCCUAAAGCUGCUGCCGUGCUUGACCGCGGACACGGGUGAGGCGCUCGGACCGGCGCUAGUGCGCUACUGUGCAGAGCUCGAGCCGGCAAGCUUUGGAGCGCCUGUGUGUGUACGUGGCUCGUAUCGGCUGUGGUGCCGCUUAAUUUGGGGGUUCCGGCGCGGGGGCUGCGGGGGCUGAAGGGGCGGUUAGGGUUUUCCCGACGGCAAACAGGCUACCCCUCCGGCCGCCUGCUAGCCGGGCCCGCCUACUCCAGCCUACACCAACAAGCCGGCAAUCCAACAUGAGCAAGCAUGCGUAUAUUGCCAUAGUUAUCUUGUUUGGACCAAGGACACAGAAAGCAGCUGACGAGGCGCCGCGUCAGCCUGCGAACCUCUGCCUGGCGCCGGGUUCCCCUACCACCGCCUGCCCCAACCAGUCCUGUCCUUCCCUCCUUCCUGCUCUCCGUGCGACGCGCUCCCCCCGCCACAAACAAACACGCACCUUGUGCUCUUUAGCACACAUACAGAGCCGCUGUCUGCUUGCGCAUACUUCACAUGCACUGAUACACUGUGUCGAACACUUGCCCUUCCACUUGUGCUUUCCUCUUUCCUACACACACACGCACACGUGUGUUCCAGGCCCCGGCGAGGUCAAGCCGCUGCGUGUGUCACUGCUGGAGGCGCGCGAGCAGCUGGACGUGUUCAGCUUCGCCUUCCCCAACCGCAUCCGAGACGCGGAGCCCCUGGCGUCCGCCGAGGUGCUCACCACCUGGGGUCGCGUCAAGGCCGCCAUCGGCGAGCUCCUGAGGGCCAUUGUCGACUGGAUCAACAAACACGUGAUCGACACAGGCGUCAGGGGGCUGGUGCGGCGCGGGGAGCCGCAGCAGCAGCAGCAGCAGCAGCAGCUGCAGGCCGCGGCUGACACGGCAUACCACCGGCACAAGGGGCGGGACCUGUGGCUGGACAUGCGUGCGGACCUGGAUGAGGGGUACGAGGUGCUGGGGGACUUCCAGGUGUGUGUGUGUGGGGGGGAUAAGGGGGGGAGGGGGGGGUGGAACGGCGCGGGUUGUGGGAGAUGAGGAAGGGCCACGAUUGACGCCAGUGCGCUGUUUGCCACGCCCUGUCACUACACGCCCAGUCACAUACGGUACCUGCUUCCACUGCAGCCACCUGGUGUCCGUCCGGUACUUAACGCCUGACUGGCUUCGGGUUUGUCUGAGUCAUGUCAGGCCUUGCAAACUCGUGCCCUGUCCGUCCCUUUCCCCUUAACUCAACCCCUCCUACACCCCCGGGUUCGGUUUAGUUUGGGCUGGAAUCUACAGCCCCCUUCUAACGCUUUCUUCACUGUUGGGACAUGUUUCGUUGGGAUCGGGCAAAUACCCCUUGCCCCGCGCUCUGUGGGCUGGUUCUGGGUUUUGGUUACUUUGGGACUGAAAUAAAGUAACCCUCCUUUUCCUGCCCCAGGACCUGGACCACUCGCUUGUGGAGUACAACCAGACUGACAUGGAGGUCAAACGGGCCGUGUGCCUGGACUGGCAGAGGCGCAUCAGCCGCCACAGCGCCACGUGAGGGCGGGGAGCGGGGAAGGGCGGGGAGGGGGAAAGGGUGGGGAGCGGAGUCUUGGGCCUUGGGUCUGCCCCGUGGCGGGUCCGUACGUGCCGCAUGGCUGCCGCGCUGUGUCUGGCGUAACCCAAACCCCGCACGCAACGCGGUUUCCCACGGCUCCUGUCCAUACUUGACCCCUGCUGCCCGCUCUGCCCACGCAGUGACCGCUAUCUGGAGUUUGUGAGCACGCCGCUGCACUCGGACGAGCUGUACACGCACAAGCACUCCAGCAAGUGAGGCGCCGCCCGAACCCGUGUGUCGCACGUGCGUCGCAUGGGUCUGCAGGACGCGCCGUGUGCGCGUGUUGCCUGAAUGAGGAAACCCAACGCUGAUGAUCCGUUCGGCCGCAGCGCUGGCUGCACUGCCACAGCUCUCCGUGUCCGCCUCACAUUAUUGGUCGCCUGUGCACCUGUUGCAAAAUGCGCACACGCCGCACCCGGGGGCUCCUGUGCCCUGACGCCAUCAACGUGCUGCCUGUGGCGCCACCCACACCGCCAUCAGCACCACCACCACUACCAUCACUAUCUGGCAUCACGCCUCCUCCACACCCCUCACCCUGCCCCCCUCAGGCUGUUUUGGGGCUACAACGGCGUCACUCCCGACACGGCGCUGACCGGGCUGCAGAACCUGGCGCUGAUGAUGCGGAGCAGGUGUGUGUGUGUGUGUGUGUGUGUGUGUGUGUGUAUAUGCGUGUGUUUGCUUUUGCGUUUGUGUGCGUGUGCGUGUGUGUGCGUGUGUGUGUGUGUGUGUGUGUGUGUGUGUGUGUGUGUGUGUCAGGCACGUGCGGGUGUGAGGUGGGGGAAACACACGUGCGGGCGGGGGGCAUCAGUCCGCGGGCGGGCGCCGGGCGGGCGCUGCGACCCCGGGCAGCCCGCCGCCACGCACAGGUGCGCGCCCUGUCUGUGCCUUUACCGCAUACGUCUUGCCUCCACACACUCGGCCCUGGCCCCAGCCUGAGCACACAACCCCCCUCGCUCGUUUGCAUCGGGUUUGGUUUACCUGGGCUGGUAUUUAUCCCCCCCGUGGCUGUUCCCCAAGAUUGUCUACCACUUCCAUUAGUCAUUAUGAAUGUAACCCCCCCUGUACACACCCGCCCGCAGUCAGCUGGCCCAGCUGCUGGCCUGGUACCCCAAUGUGACGGCGCUGCAGCCCGAUGACCUGCUGCAGGUGCGGGGCGUGGCGUGGGGAAGCGGGCGCAAUGGUGCAUGCAGCUCCCACCCGGGAUGGAGUGACACUGGGGCUCCGCGGGGGAUCGGGCUCCGUCCUGCGGCGUGUGGACAGACUGGAAGAACCUGCUUCACGUGUGUUGUCGAGUCAUCCUAUCCACCCACCCCACCCCAAUCACCACAGGACCCCGGCCACACCACCUUCCACAAGUUUCGCAAGCUAAUCAGGUGCGUGCCGCCGGGGUCAUGUGCACAAGUAUGGUAUGGAUCCAGGAAGCUCAUGUAGAAAUGGGUGGAGCGGCCUUCGUGCUGUGUUGCUUGUCAAGGCGUCAUGUCUUUGCUAGCCUACUUCCCGGUACGCGAUAUCUGCACAGCAGUAUGUGGACCGCUAUGAUAGAGCAUUUUGUAUGCAACGCCAUGCAAUUGUUACAUAGCAUCGUGGCCACAUCAGCAACACUGGAUCAACCCGGCCUACCCUCCACCAGGUCUAUUCUGGCGGUCCUGGCGGAGUUCCCCGAGCUGCUGGGCCCCGGCCGCAAGGAACCACACACCCGUGUCGCAGAGGUGGAGGGGGAGGCGCGGGCUGCCGCCGCGGCCACCACCCUGGCUGCGCGGCGCGCCCUCUCCAGCUACUCCAGCAGCAGCAGCAGCAGCAGCAGCCUGCAGCUACGCCGCAGCGGCGGCGGCGGCAGUGGCAGUGGCAGCCGCAAUGACGGUGUGGCGGUGCGGGACCCGUGUGACGCGGGUGCGGCGCUGAAGGCCCUCCAGCGCCUGUUCCACGACCUGGGCCAGACCAACGACAAGGUGCGGGGGGCAGGGCCGUGUGUCGGAAUGGUGGGCGCGUGUGUGGGUUGUGGGCUUGGGCACGGGCAGGGGACCUGGUAUGUCCGUGCGGGGUUCCGACGUCGAAGCGGCUGCGUGAUGGCAUCCGCGGCCAACACAAACCCCCUGCGAGCGGCUCGACACCCAACCUGCUGCGGUCUCGCCCGGCGGCGGGUCCGUCCCGGCGCUGCGCCCUCCCUACUCAGGUAUUCGCCUACCAGUUCUACUCCUCCCGCGGCGCCGAGUGGGCUGCCGAGGCGGAGGAGGCGCACCAGCAGGCGGCGGAGGGCUGGUCUGACAACCUGGACUUCAUGGCCUCGGCGCAGGUGGGCGCAGUGAGGGGUUAGUGUGAAUCGGUCCCAAAGGAACCGAGACCCAGGACUCGGGGGGGGGGGGGGAGGCGGAGGCGCGGGCGCGGGCGAGACUGGUGGGAGCCUGGGAUCGGGAGGUUGUCGAGUCGCUCUCAGCUCACAUCAGACACGUGGGGACUGAGGGGCUGGAGAGGAUGCCGGCUGUACGGGGGUAAGGAACAACAGAGGGGAUGUGGGUCGGGUCGGGCGUCGUGCGGGUUGUGGGUGACAGCGGCUGGUGCCGCUGGUUGCGAUAAAGCAGGCAUCCAAAAUCGCUUGUUCCGCAACCAUGCACCUUCCAGGACAAUGCCAGCGGCUCUUGGACUGCAUUUUGUGCCUGGCCGUGUUGCUUUCGCACAUGCUUUUGCGAGCUCGCCCCCUUGCCUCCCCCUUCUGAGAUGGAGAACAGCGGCAUGUCCCCUGUCCCUGCUCCCCUCCUCCUCGUCUCCCUGUCCUCGCGUUCCCCUCCGCGCCUCCGCCCGCUCCACUCAGGUUGACGUCAUGGCUCGGUGCAUUGCCGCCACACUGCCGCGGGGGGAGCAGCCGCUGCCCCAGCGCCGCCGCCGCCACAUGUAGAGCUAGGCGGGUGGGCAUUUGCAGCCCUUGUACUACCCGCAAUGGAUCAUAAAUACAUUUUACAGCCGUUGCAGCGCGUGCUGCAUGCAUUCAUGCUAGCGUUGGUUCUUUCACGGCGCUUAAAACAGCCGCAGUAGCCCGGUGGAGUAGCAGUCAGACGUGCAAACGUAUAAGGAUGUUGGGGGCUAAGCUGCGCGCUCGCGUGCGCUCGCGCGCACACGCCCAGCUACUGUGCGUAGCUGCUGCGGUGGCGGCGCCAGUGACUCCAAUCAUGUGCUGCGACCCAGCAAAACUGUUGUGUGCGCAUGCGUUUCAGUAAGUUGGGAGCGCUUGUUGGCGGCAGGAGUUUGUGGUGCAGGGGUAGUCAAGUUGUUGAUCGUGUCUGAGGCCUGUUGCACGCUCGGCACUUUGAUUCGAGGCUGGCAUGGGUACUGCUGCUCGAGAGCACGCAUCGCUGGGCUGUGUGUUGGGCUUCUGGGACUGGGAUGCAGACGUGUUGCUCAAAUGCAGUUUGCAACAAGCGCGGGCCUCACAGUGCCCUCCACGGGUGCGACAGCCCCCAUUGUGUAUAAGGGCCAUCCGUGGCUCUCGCCAACGCGGCGCCCCCACACGCGAACAAUGUGUUGGGCUUGCGCCUAGGACAGACGACCACUUAGGACGCUGUAUGAGGGCCAGCGCUAAGACAGGAUCAACCUUAUCUAGCUCCUUACAUGAACGGACCUAGGCCGGACGGCUGGGGAGUUGCUUUUAUUCCGGUUGCACCCGGGGGUUGCAUCUAUCCGUAUUGAUGUGUUGCGGGGGCUUGCAGGCGUGGUUAAGAUGCUUUUGCAAGGGUUGGCUAGCUCUUAAGCCCGGGCGCAUCAUUGCAUCGGCCUCUUUUGAUGCUACUGUAAGGUUUGGCUGAUGACAGCUUUGCGCACGCAAACGUGCUUGGAUUGGGUCGUCAAGCUUCAAAAGACGCGUUUCGCAUGGCCUAUGGCGAUAACGUGCUUCCAGGUGCUGAAGUAGCCGCGUUGGCGCGCGCGAUGGCGGCCAUCAGCGGUUCGCCGCGGCCAUCGAGACUCCCUAGAGGGCACGGUAAGUCUUCAGCUUCAGUCCGCUACUCGAAAUUGGUGUGCAUGGAGUUCAUAGAGGAUAUGACUCACGGUACUGCAGCUGCGCAUUGACAUUGACGAGUAGGGCGCGCGCCCUCCGAGUGCGCGCCAACUGCACCCGGGCAGCUGCCGAUGUACGGCGCUCGUCCGAGUUCUCCUAGCAACCUCUCAUGAGCCAUCGCAGUAUUAAAGCACUGUGGCAUCGACAAUUUCUUACAACCCUAAGCAAUUACAACUGCGACAUCUUACGAAGCUCAUCAGGUCAGACUUAGCGUUUUGCAACAAUCAGCCUCUUCAUCACCAAACUGCAAACAUGAAUUUAGCAGCCAUAAAUAGGGUCAAAGUUUUAGUAGCUGUCUGCCUGGCAAUCGCGGCGCCAACACACGCAGCGGGCACCGGCGCGCGGCCUGAAUCGGUGGCGGCCUUCCUGCGCGGCGGCAACUUGCCAAGCAUGGGCAACAUAGGUGAGUACUUGAAGGCAACUGGGGAUGGGCUGGUAAGGGGUCAGGGGAUUGUAAUCAGCAGCGUCCAAUCUGGCUUACAGCGCCAACAGACCUUAGACUAAUGUUAACGACCAGCACCAGCACGCACAAGCACCGUGUGUGAUGUUGUGACCAAACCCGUUCAACACUCACUUCAUUUGCACAUAACUGUCCCUGCUGUGCCGCGCAGGUGCACUGGCAGCAGGGACUUCAUCCAUCACUCCCGCUACUCAGGCAGCCGCCACCAGCACCGCCCGACCGCUGCAGCGCCUGCUGCAAUCCGACCCCACACUGCCCUUCACCUGCACCGGCAUCUCCCCGCCACAAAACUGCAAGCCGUCGCCGCUCUUUGGCAACAGCAUGGACUGCAGCCAGGCCACCUGCCCCCUGGAGCCCGCGGACGCCACCACGUUUGAGGACUGCGUGUGCGCCACGAACUGCCGCGGCGCAGUGAUGAUCGCGCAGUGCGCGGUGGGCUACAGGCAGUGCGACCAGAGCUGCGUGCCCUUGAUGCAGACUGGCUGCCCCAGCUCCUGCUACCUCAAUGUAAGCCUGGGUUCUAGCCGCCUGGGGUGGGCUUUAAACCUUACUUUGGAGUUGCGAGGCAAGGGUUGGCAGUCGUGUAGUCAAGUGUCAUCAAGUCUGUGGGAGUAGUCCGGGGCCCUGCUGCUGCCGGGAAGUCAGGCUGUGCACCAGCAGCCUGUCAGGCAGGGGUGCCGCUACUAGUCACAGCCUCUCUUGCUGCCGCACCCAGUAAAUUAGGGCCCCUGCCGCAACACGCACGAUGACUCACCUGCGGCGACUCACCUGCGGCCCAAUGUGCCCCUGCCACCUCCCCCCCCCACCUCAUCCACCGCCCACCCCUGCAGUUGGCGUUCUACACCUACUGCCGGUGUUCACCGGCCGAGGUCGCGGAGUGCGUGCAGUCGGUGGUGGAGGCAGUCAAACAGACCUACCUGCAAGUGUGCGCCAAGCUGCCGCGCCGGGAUGGCAGCCCCGUCAACGCAUUGCCGCCCCAAACCUGGGAGCCCGCGCCCGCGCCCAUCCAGCCGGAGCCGGAGCCAUUCCCUGAGCCGGAGCCGUCCCCUGAGCCGGAACCGUCCCCUGAGCCGGAACCCACCCCUGAGCCGGAACCGUCCCCUGAGCCGGUGCCAUCAUCUUCUCCCUCGCCUACCCGCUCGCCCUUACCUUCGCCUGCUGCUUCUCCAUCACCCUCCCCAUCCCCCAAGCCGUCGCCCUCCCCGGCCCUCCGGCCACCGCCCCCUUCCCUAAGCACCCCGGAGCCUGACGCCCUCUACGGCCCGCCUCCAGCGUGGGAGGACGCCUCUCCGCCGCCGCCCUCCCCACGGCCGCCACGCCCGCGCCCGCCCAGCCCCAAAGCCUCACCGCCGCCCAGCCCUCAGCCCUCUCGUACUUCACCCAGCCCCGUGCCUCUCCUUCCUCCCCAGAGCCCACAGUCCCCGGAUCUGCCUUCUCCCGCCGAGCCUCCCAGCCCCGAGCCACCCAGCCCCGAGCCACUCACCCCCGAGCCACCCAGCUCUGAGCCACCGUCACCUGAGCCGCUGCUGCCGCCCCAGAGCCCCAGCUAUGGACAGCCCACGCCGGCCCCUUCCUACAGUCCUGCUCCCCCGUACGGCGGCUCGUACCCGCCUUCGCCUGUGUACGGGCCGUACGGUGGCGUUCAGCCGCCACCGCCUGCUGCUUACGGGUCGUACGGCAGCCCUCCUUCGCCAGUGUACGGCGGUUACAGCUCAAGUCCGUCCCCCUCCGCAGCUUAUGGGUCCACCGAUACGAACCGUCCGCCUCGGCCGCCACGCAAGCUCCAUUCCCGGCCGCGCCCCGUGCCGCAGUGAGGGGCUAGGGGCGUGCUCCCGAACAUGCAUUUGAAUGAAUUGCAUGGUACCACGCAGCAGGUGCAGGCAAAUACAAUACGGUAUUCGUACAUAUAGAGGAAUGCCGCACAAAAGCGCAUUCGCAUGUUGGUGUGUGCGUGAGGUUGAGCAGUUUCGAGCAGGGCUUUCCUGUACAUACUUCAUCUGUACAUACUUCAUCUGUCUUCAUCGGUGCGGAACUGCAUUGAGCAGGCCAGUAGCGGGAGCUAAUCAGGGAUCCGCGGGUCGCCUCCGCCUCGAAGCAUCUUAUUUAUCACCGUAUUGAAUGUAAGCAUGGUGUGGGCCUGAGUAACAGCUCUAUGUCCAGAGCAGUCCAGAACCGUGUGCAUGUCUCUGGGUGUCCAAUCCCAGCAGCGCCGGCCUGUAGCCUUUGCCCGGUAGUCGUGUUUAUAUGUGGGUGUUCCUAUGGUGGUACGGGGGGGUUGGCUGCACACAGGAUCAGUACAUUCACGGACACACGCAUGGACACGCAUGACGUACAACGCAUGGUGUGGAGCGGGGGACGGAGGUUCGCUGCGAACGUUAUGAGCUGUAUGGGGCGGAUGCAAUGACAUACUGUAGUGGGUGGCGCAGCGGACCACGCAACAAACAUUUGCAGGAUGGCACAUGAGCAUGGCAUCUCCACCUGACGAGGUUGCCGCACGGGGUUGCCGGUCAAGGGAGCUGCACCGGGUUGUGGUGUUGGCAUGCAACUCGGGCGUCAGGUGCCACGGGCUGUAACACGUAUUUCGGUAUUUGUGACAAGACACCAACCAUGGUGCUUACCCGUGUCCCCCGAGCCUGAACGCCACCAAUCAGUCACUGGGAGCCCCAGAUUGGCAGGCCUGCAAGGCAAUUGCGGUAGUUGAUGUCAGGCGGCGCCGCUCCCCCAAGGCUGGUUUCGCUUCCCCCUUCGGCCCCAACCCAAUGUCCACUUCCGUAGGCCCAGGGACAUGUCAUCCUGGAAAAUUGGAAACGCGUUGACUUACACUCGGCUGGGUUCUUCUUCUCGAGGGGGUAUCGCGGAGAUAUCCGAUGAAUGAUAGCUAGGGAGCUCUCCAGUGUCGAGUGACCAGACACACCCCUUCGCAUUGUACACGUAACCAGCAGGUGAAUCCACGAGCGUGCAGAGCAGCGUAUGUGCAGGUCCUGAUAGUGCAUCGCCAACAACAGUGCUCCCCAGUGUACCGGUAGGAACGCCACCGGGACCAGGGCAUGCCGGGACUACCGGGCCGGCCAUCAUUGCCACGACAGCCAUCUGCAGUAGGUGUGGCUCAGUCAAUGUUAUUGAUACACAUGUAACACAAGUAUCUUACUAAGCUAUAUUAUAACUGCAUUAUAAAUCGAACGAACGCGUAAGAACUUCCGAUUCCGCCACCCACGACGACCUCGUUCACAGUCACUUCACAUUCUGCGUCCUUACGCUUCCCAAGACUCGUCACUAAAACCAACAUCCAGCUGCAAAUCACAGCGCACUGCACGAGUCGGUCGUCGACUCACUUGGCCGCGAUGGCGUCGGUCGCGCACUCGCACUCCCUGUCCACACCCGCUGUCACCCCUAAACGCUGCUGCCUUAGCGCUCUGACCUCGCCGCUAGCUCGAUGCAUCGGGCCGCUGGGCCACGCAGCGGCUUCUCGGGCAGCGCCGACGUCCCACGCCUCAGCAAGCUCUGGUCCCGCGCUCUCAGUGCACGCCUCCGUUUUAACGCCCCAGCCCGCAGCUCUGGUAACACCGCGUCCCCAGUCGCCAGCAGUCCCUGCGCCUCUCGCACCGACUCUCAGGUCACUGCUGCUCUCCGCAGCCUCCAGCUUGCCGUGCACGCUGCUGGCAGCAGCUGCCUGCUCCGCUGCGGAGCGCUCGGCCUCCGCCGCCGCCACCGCCGCAGCACCAGCAUCAGCAUCAGUGGCAGCAGCACUGACGUUUGAGCCUCGGGCACCGGAAGCGGGCGUGCUGGCAGCCCAGGUGCUGGUGCUGCUGCUGACGGCGGGCGCUGGCGCGUACUGGUGGUACGUGGUGGUGCCGACGGAGCGCGCGGCGGUGGGGCGUAGCAAGCGGCUGGGCGCCCUCAACAACUACCUCGGAGAGCUGGAGGCGCCGCAGGCGACACAGGAGCGCAAGUGGGUAUGCUAUGGUGAAAAUGUGGGCUAAGGAGCUAGGGAUGGAGGGACGGUAGGAGUGAGACUGGACGGCGGUCGUGGUGGGGGGCGCGGGUGCAGGUUCGGCUAACAUAGUGGCAACGAGACAGCGUGGGCGGACCCGGCUGUGCUUCCGGCAUGCUCUUGCCUCAGCCUCCCAUGCACGUUAUCCUUUGCCGCCCAGACUGGAGCGCUGGUUCUACACCGACUGGCUGCAGCAACGCGAGAAGCGCCGCCAACGGCUGGGCAAGCCUGCGGCGUCAGCCGCCGCUGCCGGCUCUGCGGCAUCUCCCGCCGCUGCCUCUCCCACGGCAACCCCUGCCGAUGCCUCCGAUGGCGGGGCCCCGAGCCCAGAGGACCCGUACACUGGCGAGCACGUGCCGUACAGCGAUGACCUGCUGCGACCCACUGUGGAGACGCCCACGCCGCGCUUCUUGUCCCUGGACAACCCGUUGGUCGCCACGGCGGCGCUGCUGACGCUGGUGGGCGUCGUGUCCACGCUUUUGCAUGGGUAAUGGGUGUGAUGAAGUGGCCUAGGGUCGUCAGCGCCCCAAGGGAUACAUUGCGGCUUUUCGUGUCCACUGGGUAGGUUGGGUAGAUAAUCAUGCGAACAGUGUGUAUCAAAGAUAGAAGUGCCGAGUACCCCUGCACCUGGCUUUCGUUCUCUUUGUACGUCAGGACGAUGAGAAAUGCUUGCUAAUACGACGUAUCAGUGGUGGGGGCUCAGCCUGCUGUGUUGAUGCUGUGUUGAGAGUGGGCAGUGGAGGCGUGCAGGGAGCGGCUGCGUAGAUUAACACAGGUGUCCUUGCUAGGACUGUGGGCUACGAGGAUGGGGGUUGUCUCGCUUGGAGCGCAAGUGGCGUGAGCAAGGCUGCAAGGGCUGUGCAGUGUGCAGUGCCUGGCAGUGUUUGUGAAGGCGUUGCGGCGUCGGCACGUGCACACCUGAUAUGAAGGCUACUACCACAUGGGAAAUGCAAGCCACCUAUGUGAUGCACGUUUGUGAUGCUACCGUUGCUAUUGUAUAGGAGUAGGACUGGCACGACGAGAGGAUAGUAACGAACGGGGCAAGGCAACGGGGAGCAUGUCAUUGGAGUAUGGAAAGUAGCGACACUCAGCGACUGGACUUGCCGGCUAGCGGGCACUGGCGCUGAGCAGCAGGAGACACAUGGCAAUCGCUUGCAGAGCUACACAGGCAUGAACUGCAAGGUCACUAGAUGAGGCAGGCUUUGGCGGCCCGGGUGUAUCACGCCCGGGACAGAGGAAUACCCACAGCUGCAACACUAUUGUAACUCAAUAUCGAGCACCGACGAUGCACCGUGGUUGCUGCCCGCACACCCACAUUAAGCCCACGCAACCCCGUGGCCCACCGCAGCACCACCGAACGCUCGACGUUGCACGCAAAUGGCGGGCUCUCCCCGUCGGCUACCACUCUUGGGCUGCUGCAGGGAAUUCCAGUAUUUUACUUACCUGCUGGUCAACGGUCCGGCUGGGUGUGCGAUGGGACAGUUGUAAGGCAGGUUGGUGAAGUCCCGUAGGGUGCCGCUGGAUGUGCGAUGGGACAGUGGUAAGGCAGGUUGGUGAAGUCCCGUAGGGUGCAGCUGAUUCCCAGAACCCAACAGAUGGCACACAAUUGGCAACGGCAGGGCAUGAGUGCGCGGCUGGUCGAACGCCGGGGUGAUUGUACCGACGAGUUGCUGGCUGGCUGGAAGGGUGCUGAAGCGCAUUCCGGUCCAGCUCGGUAGCGUUCCCAUGUUCCGAAUCCUUGCCGCCCUCGCACACCCUAAAGCAUCCCCUAGUCCUUGGCCACCACGAAGCGGCUGACUGGCUGAUUCUCAGAUACCCAUCCCACCUUCAAAGCGAAACCCACAGGCACAGGUACAACUCAUGUCGCGUUGACUUACACUCGGUUGGGUUUUUCUUCUCGGGGGUGAGAUAUCUGAUGAAUGAUAGCAUCCGAUCUCUCCAGUGUCAAGUAACCAUGCCUAACCCUGAUGCCUAGGGUAUUGUACACGGUGCCGCCACGUAACCAGCAGGUACGGGCUAAUUAUUGUGAAGUCACGCGCGUUUGGGGGAAACCAAUAGCAGCGUAUAUACAAACGCAAAACCGCAUAACCUCAGAACACCAGCAAAACUGAGACCCAAAAGUCUCAAAGAAUGUCCUUGCGUCAUGCGAUCACGCUUGGCUUAGCCACACACCAACAACACACACACACACACUCUCAUUGCACUCGCUCAAACACCAACAAACAUCACACACGGCUCAGAUCGACGAGCGCCUCCAUUUACACGGAGCGCUUGUUGGCGGGCUGGAAGUCGCGGGCAGUCUUGGGGCGCUGGACCAGGAAGCCCAUGAUCUGCACCUGCUUCUGGUUGUCGAAGGCCACCAGGCGCACGUAGGCAUCGGGGAAGGCCUUGGUGCAGGCGACGAUCUCGCGCAGCACCUGCAUGGGGUCGCGGCAGCCGAACAUGGGCAGCUUCCACAUGGUCCAGUAGCGGUUGUCGUAGUACAGCUGCGGGCGCACGGGAAAUGGGAGGGAGAAGAGGUUCAGUCACCAGCGCACAGAACCACCAAAGAUGGAAUUGGGCCCCUUGCUUUUCCGUGCUGAAGCACGAGCAGGGGUAUGCGUCAGUUCCCCGCGGUGAGAUAGGCGCUGUCCCGGUGCCAAGCUAACCCAGUGCCACAGUGGACCCGUCUGGCUCUCGCUCCGACUUACGCAAGACACGCUGCCGAAGCGGAUGGCCGACUCGUUGGACACGUAGGCCUUGUCGGCCUCAGCGAACUCCAGGCAGGGGAUCCAGCCUGCAAGCGACAGCACGAAGGGGGUAAGAUAAGUGGCCGACGCAAGCAGUCCAGGGCUAUCCCAGAUAAGGGCGGAUGACAGGCAAACUAUACAGCAGACAACGAACAAGCUAAUCUCAAGCUUCGAGCGAUCGUAAUGUCGCAGUCUGCAGCUACGCCCUAGAUCGUAUUAACUAGCUCUCAAACACAGCCCAGCUACAUAUGCCCACGGCACCAAGCCGUGCUCACCGUUGGCGACGAUGUAGUCGACCUGGGCGGCGAUCUGCUCGUCGGUCAGAGGAGGCAGGUAGGAGAAGGUCUCGAACAUCCUGCGAUCACGCGAUUGACCAGUACUCGUUAGAAGUGGCAGAGCACGUGCGAUGUGAGGCAGCAGGCUGGGCCCCAAGCAAUUGCGUCGCGACUUGCAGAAUCCCUAUCCUUCGGGCUGCGCUUGCUCGUCGACUCACUUGUUGUUGACCGGGGUCCAGACCAUCAUCUGGUUGGCCUGAGCCGGGGCAGCCACGGGGGCAGCCUUGACGGCGGGCUUCAGCGCGGCCAUGGGGCGCACGCUGGAGCGGGCCGGGCGAGCCACGGCCGCGGAGACGGAGGACUUGGCAAUGACGGCGGCCAUUUUAGAUGUUUGAGAAAGUGGUCGAAUGAACGAGUAAGUUCUUGGGACAAAGACUCGGAGGUGGCCGGUCGCCGUUUUCAAUCCCCGCUCGCCGAUGACCCGUACGGCAGGCUUAUCCGACUCGUCGGCUUUCACGACCGCCCGAGCCUGCGCGCUUCAUCCGCUUCCGGAUAGCUUGCUACGAUAAUGCAUUAUUCAAUUUUACGACGCAAUGUCAUGAGCAGCGCCGGGCGGGCUUAUUUACAUGCGUCGCCUCGCUCGCCGUUGACUUGAUACUUUGGAAAUUCGGGCUCGAUUCGUUGCUACAGCCUGCCUUUUGCACACAAUGUGAACGUCGAUUCUACAUUUGUAUGUGACUGAACUUCGCGGCCCCUACUGAACGUUUCGUGCAAGCGACAUGUCGACUCACAACUUGGAGGAACGCGCGAGGGGUCCCCACACGCACUUUCAGCCUGCUUUGGCGAAAUGGACAUGAUAGGUAUAGCCAGGAUAUGGGUCUGCUAGCUCGCCUGGUGUUUUGACCGUCGAUCGGUUUCGCGUUGGGCCUUGCGGCUGCUCGCUCGCCGCGGAUGCUUCCGCACACUGCGCGGCACGUGUUAGUCUGUGCACGACGACGGUUUGUUUGUAUUGCGCCGCCAACGUUCAACGGUGGUGGUAGGUUCGAAUGUCAGAAUGUCGGGCACGGGGACCUUGGGCGCAUUGCCUACAAGCGCGUGCCUGUGUUUUUGGGGGGCAGAGAAGUGAGCCUGCCUAUUGGGUCACAAUAGCACAGAGGCGGGUGGCCAGCGUCGGGAACUGGUUCAGAACGGCUGCAGGGACAGCACCGUGCGUGCGUGUGUGUGUGGGGGGAGCCUUCAAAGUUGACGAGCUUCGCAGCGCUGGGAUGGACUGGCAUUGCGUGCUUGAGUUUGCGUCCCGUGAGAACCCUGCAGUUUAUGGCGGAGACAGGGAAGAGGGAAUGGGAUCGCGCCGGUGCAGGGAAAGGGCACGAAUCUGAGGUUACGGUAUCUGGGGGGAGGUGCCCAUGUGGGAGGGGAAGCCUAACUGCCUGUCUGGGUGCAGACCAGGAAUGGCAACACGUGAACGGUUAGUAGAGAGCUGUGUGCUGUUGGGCGCUCUCGGCAAGGGGCGUGGGAGGGGGCUGGGUUGGUGGGCGGCUGUCCGCACAGUGCCUAGCAGUGCGCACUCAGGCCCUUCGCAGACCGAAGAGGGCGCCAGGGCCUAUGCGCGCGUGGCUUGGCGUGAGGUUCUUGCUGUUGGCGUCAGGCGCCGCAAAAGGCCGGGUGGCUCUGCAGUGUCCUGCUCGCUUGGCGUGCGGCAAAGUGGUUCAGUCAGCGAGCGCAGUGUAUGCGUGUGUGCGUGUAUGCGUGUGCGUGCGUGUGUGUGUGUGUGUGUGUGUGUGUGUGUGUGUGUGUGUGGUUGCUGCGGAGAGGGCACGCAGCGACACGAGAUUGCCAUGCAGUGGUGCAAGCUGCUGGGGUCGGGUAAACGGGGUGGGAAAGUUGGUGAUGGUGGAAUGUUCUUGUGGCACGAACUGGCCUUGUGCGUAUUCGUUCGCCCCGUUCACUCUGGUCCACCAAUCCCACAGUCACUGCACUUAAAUGCCUAAAAGCCCCUGCUACGGUGCGGACAGGGUAAGGCCACGGCAGGUCUAAGUCCAUAUGCGCCCGUAGAGGUUCGAGUGCGUUAACCGGUCGCAAGGUGUUCACAACAUGUUGAUGUGUUGACAACAUGGCUGUGGUCAAGACGUGCCCUGCGAACUUCCCGUGUUUACAUGUUAAUAGAGCUCGCUGACAGCAGUCAUUUGACACCAUUAUGGAAGAAAACAGAGGGGAUUUAGGGGGUGUACGGCACGGUAUGGCACGGUCGGUCGUCGGUCCGGGGGGUCGGGGGGUUCUGCAGGGUGGGGCCUGGAACUAUUGUUCGUACACCCCCGCCUGGCUCCCCUGCUCCCCCUGACUAACCCCUGACCUCUGGCUUUCUUCGCUUUCCUUUCAGUGUCACCAAUUCUCAUGAGUGGGGGCGCACCCCGAAAUAAGCGGGUACGGUGCUUCAGUUCAGUGCUUGCCACGGCCUCAAGAGCCCCAAACCACGUGCACCGAAAUUCGCUUGCACUCCAAAUGCACUGGGAAGCCAGUAGCAGCGCGCUCUCAAAUGCUGGCAUGUGUCUCUCUCUGUCCAGAGCCUGAAUGCGCCAAGUCUGCUACGGUAGGAGGGUGCAACCCGUGGCCCGCCUUGAACCGCGCUUGCACACACAGCUGGAUUGCUGCUGGCAUGACCGUGUGAAAGAGGUACAGGCAGCCGGGCAAGUCCCAGCGGGCAGGUUGGUGUAGGCUAUGCCCCAUAACAGGCCCGUGCAUGCUGCCACGGACUUCUCGCCAGGAAUGUAAGUCCCGAUGCUAGACAAUUACUCCAGCAGCUGCAUGCCGCCAUCUUCAGUACUCGGUAUCCCUUGGUGCACGCAAGUCAAGGAUCAGUCCCAGGGCUCACCCUGGAGCAAUGCAGCCUGCGUGUGCACCUGCGAUGGAGCCGCGGCCUGCGGUAUUGGCUGCCCGAUUACGAAGCUGCGGGUGGGGGCAGUUGGCACGCAUUCCGCCACAGACCCCGCGAGCCUAGCCGCACCCAAGCUCUAAGCGGCCUAGACCGUGACCAAAGGCGAAGAAGCCGCGGCCAUCCCUGCGCUCAGAUUGCAUUGGUUACAAGAGGGACCUGCUGACGCAGUUCAUGGCUUCAUGCGCUCAGAGCCCGAGCCCUGAGCGGCAGCAAAAGCAGAAGCCACGCUACGUGUGCUAGCUACGACCAAUGCCUUGUACAGCUCUCCUCGGCUGCGCUCUUCGGCUGCGCUCCUCGGCUGCGCGGGACAGGGGACUCCGUGCAACCACUAUUGCUUAUAGCCUGCACCAGUCAUUGACGAGUGUUGCGGAACUAAUGCGUACGUAGACCAGAGCGGAAGGCGGAGUGGGCUUGCAGGCGGCACGAGAGUAGGCAGUCAGUAGCGCAAGUUGCGAAUUCCCAUGUUACCUCGUAACCGACGGUAAACGCUGUGGACGGUCGCGCCCAUGGCUGGCUGACGGAAGCUGGCUGCGGUAUUGGGAUGGCUGGGCUGGAUGACGCCGGCCGGGCUGGCGUUGGGACUACCAGAAAGGAUGCGCCCGAAACCAACCUGGAGAACACCAGCGCCACCGGUGCCCAGCACGACAUGUAAGGGAGGGAGGGAGGGACAGGAGGCGUGAUGCACUGCAGCGUAGAAGCUGCAGUCAUGGGCACAGCUUGUACCAUACAGCACGGUCAUCAAGGACACAAUGCCGGAACGGCAUCAUACGAGGCGGGGUUGGGAGCUGCAGGAAGUGGGCAGCGGGGCAGAAUCAAAGGUUUGCAUCGUUUAGAACAGGUGCGGAACACGCGCCAGCGCCAGCGCGGAGGACCCCAAGUAAGGCCUUUACUCACCAAUGUACGUUUUGUACACCCAAUCUCGCCCCCUAUCGACGUUGGCACUAGGUAGCUGGCUAUCAUUCUAUGCAGAUUAAGCAAAGGGGCACCGGGAACAACUGACUCAUGUUCGUCACUGCAGGUUACUGCAAAUGCUGUCUCCACCUUUGCUGCACGGUUCCGUUUCGUCACGUUUGCUGGUGUUGCUACCCGCCGUUCUUUAGUGUGUAACUGAUCUGCGAACCGAGUCCCCUUCAGCUGAUGAACCCCGCAGCAACUUUUCCAAAAGCGCUUCAAAUACGCCCAGCCCGCCCAUGGAGAAAGAGGCCAAAAUCAACGGAGGAUCGUUACAACCAACAAAAUUGCAAAACUCCUCCGCUUUUUACGUGUUGAAAAAGACUGAUCAGCACGAAACGGGGAGCUAAGCUACCGCUUCAGCACUUGAGAGCAGUAUCUUCCAUCCACCGCCGUUCGUCAGGGGGCAAGGCUCAGAUCAACGAGCGCCUCCAUUUACACGGAGCGCUUGUUGGCGGGCUGCCAGUCGCGGGCAGACUUGGGGCGCUGGACCAGGAAGCCCAUGAUCUGCACCUGCUUCUGGUUGUCGAAGGCCACCAGGCGCACGUAGGCAUCGGGGAAGGCCUUGGUGCAGGCGACGAUCUCGCGCAGCACCUGCAUGGGGUCGCGGCAGCCGAACAUGGGCAGCUUCCACAUGGUCCAGUAGCGGUUGUCGUAGUACAGCUGCGGGCGCACGGGAAAUGGGAGGGAGAAGAGGUUCAGUCACCAGCGCACAGAACCACCAAAGAUGGAAUUGGGCCCCUUGCUUUUCCGUGCUGAAGCACGAGCAGGGGUAUGCGUCAGUUCCCCGCGGUGAGAUAGGCGCUGUCCCGGUGCCAAGCUAACCAGUGCCACAGUGGACCCGUGUGCCAAAAGCUAACCCAGUGCCACAGUGGACCCGUCGGGCUCUCGCCAGACUUACGCAAG
Molecule: long non-coding RNA, 27279 nt
Filed under: Chlamydomonas reinhardtii
Lineage: Eukaryota; Viridiplantae; Chlorophyta; Chlorophyceae; Chlamydomonadales; Chlamydomonadaceae
Description: long non-coding RNA (CREI_LNC000175)
Source: RNAcentral